UGCCGGUGGACAAACCGGAGGAAGGUGGGGAUGACGUCAAGUCAUCAUGGCCCUUACGGCCUGGGCGUACACACGUGCUACAAUGGUCGGUACAAAGGGUUGCCAAGCCGCGAGGUGGAGCUAAUCCCAUAAAACCGAUCGUAGUCCGGAUCGCAGUCUGCAACUCGACUGCGUGAAGUCGGAAUCGCUAGUAAUCGUGAAUCAGAAUGUCACGGUGAAUACGUUCCCGGGCCUU
This 235-nucleotide ribosomal RNA is filed under the name uncultured Pseudomonas sp. RNAcentral describes it as "partial 16S ribosomal RNA". It matches the Rfam family "Bacterial small subunit ribosomal RNA", at positions 1150 to 1382 of the family's 1533-position model. The record is from RNAcentral. Lineage: Bacteria; Pseudomonadati; Pseudomonadota; Gammaproteobacteria; Pseudomonadales; Pseudomonadaceae.